GAUGAACGCUGGCGGCGUGCCUAAUACAUGCAAGUCGAGCGAACAGACGAGGAGCUUGCUCCUCUGACGUUAGCGGCGGACGGGUGAGUAACACGUGGAUAACCUACCUAUAAGACUGGGAUAACUUCGGGAAACCGGAGCUAAUACCGGAUAAUAUAUUGAACCGCAUGGUUCAAUAGUGAAAGACGGUUUUGCUGUCACUUAUAGAUGGAUCCGCGCCGCAUUAGCUAGUUGGUAAGGUAACGGCUUACCAAGGCAACGAUGCGUAGCCGACCUGAGAGGGUGAUCGGCCACACGGGAACUGAGACACGGUCCAGACUCCUACGGGAGGCAGCAGUAGGGAAUCUUCCGCAACGGGCGAAGGCUUGACGGAGCAACGCCGCGUGAGUGAUGAAGGUCUUCGGAUCGUAAAACUCUGUUAUUAGGGAAGAACAAAUGUGUAAGUAACUAUGCACGUCUUGACGGUACCUAAUCAGAAAGCCACGGCUAACUACGUG
RNAcentral lists this ribosomal RNA (497 nucleotides) under uncultured bacterium. Its description in RNAcentral is "partial 16S ribosomal RNA". It matches the Rfam family "Bacterial small subunit ribosomal RNA", at positions 28 to 507 of the family's 1533-position model. The record is from RNAcentral.